This is a non-coding RNA of Pelobates cultripes (western spadefoot toad), 388 nucleotides long. The record is from the annotation of a GenBank genome assembly. Lineage: Eukaryota; Metazoa; Chordata; Amphibia; Anura; Pelobatidae.
CCCACUUCUGUGUGGAUCUCUUGUAAGGCUGCAUUUCGUAUCAGUUUCUUGAUGUCCUCCUUCAUGGAAGGAGACAAGUCCUCAUCUGAGUCGGUUCUGAGGUACACUUCACCAGAGUGAGGUAAAGCUCUAGGUUCCCCCUACUCCUGUGAGUUUUCAGAGGCCUUCUAUUCUCUCUGGGUGUGGUGUUAGGCGCCAUCUUGGCUGGUGUCGGCAGUGCAGGCCGCUCAAAUAAGAGUUUAAUGUCGGGGAAUUAUGGUCUCUCGGAUUGGAAUUGCCGCUUGUGUUUGUGCCCCAUGUUGUCUGCUGAGGGGUAGCGUAUAUAGAUUGCACUCGGUAAUUGCAGUAUUCUGCCAUAUUUAUCUCUGGUUGUGGGGCUUCGACUGAG